ACGUGAUAACUCGUAUUACUCUUCGUGAGUGUAAUCGACGACGCGCAACGAAGCCGGAGAUCAUAGCUACCAUAGUCUGUACUUAUUAUGUUUUACGACGGCUUAUUUAUUAUACUCGUCCAAAUAAAAUGAUGUAAUCGACAGAAAUCAUAACGUACGAAAACCCUUCGCCCUUUGGAGUACUACACGUCUGCGCGACUAUUGUACGGAUGAAGUGAAAUAAUUUUCAAAUAUUGUUUUACCAUUUCGUAAUGCAUACAAAUAUGGUUUACAACAGGUAUUUACGAGUAAUUUGGCUUUAACCUUCUGACAAAUUGGCAGUUAUAAAAUUUGACAGUGAAAAUAGGUAAGUGGCAUGAUAAAAUCUUACCCUUUAAUUAUAGUGAUAUCACAGAACAAAUUAAAUAACCUUCAUCUAUUAUGUGAUGAUAUCAUAAUACAUUUUUUUCACAUAGAAAUUUUGAUAAAUUUGACUAAAGCAGCAGCAUACAAAUUUACAAGCAUUAUUCAUAAUAUUCUUACCCAUUUUAUAAAUGUUUUCUACACAUA
This is a long non-coding RNA of Melanaphis sacchari, 549 nucleotides long. RefSeq lists it as uncharacterized. Lineage: Eukaryota; Metazoa; Arthropoda; Insecta; Hemiptera; Aphididae. The record is from RefSeq and is a predicted model, not a curated record. The transcript has 3 exons.